GACGAACGCUGGCGGCGUGCUUAACACAUGCAAGUCGUACGGUAAGGCCCUUUCGGGGGUACACGAGUGGCGAACGGGUGAGUAACACGUGAGUAACCUGCCCACAACUUUGGGAUAACGCUAGGAAACUGGUGCUAAUACUGGAUAUAUGCUCCUGCUGCAUGGUGGGGGUUGGAAAGCUCCGGCGGUUGUGGAUGGACUCGCGGCCUAUCGGCUUGUUGGUGGGGUAGUGGCCUACCAAGGCGGCGACGGGUAGCCGGCCUGAGAGGGUGACCGGCCACAUUGGGACUGAGAUACGGCCCAGACUCCUACGGGAGGCAGCAGUGGGGAAUAUUGCACAAUGGGCGCAAGCCUGAUGCAGCAACGCCGCGUGCGGGAUGACGGCCUUCGGGUUGUAAACCGCUUUCAGCAGGGACGAAGCUUUUUGUGACGGUACCUGCAGAAGAAGCACCGGCUAACUACGUG
This 465-nucleotide ribosomal RNA is filed under the name uncultured bacterium. RNAcentral describes it as "partial 16S ribosomal RNA". It matches the Rfam family "Bacterial small subunit ribosomal RNA", at positions 28 to 507 of the family's 1533-position model. The record is from RNAcentral.